This 407-nucleotide ribosomal RNA is filed under the name uncultured bacterium. RNAcentral's name for it is "partial 16S ribosomal RNA". It matches the Rfam family "Bacterial small subunit ribosomal RNA", at positions 30 to 526 of the family's 1533-position model. The record is from RNAcentral.
AUUGAACGCUGGCGGCAGGCCUAACACAUGCAAGUCGAGCGGAGCGGCGGACGGGUGAGUAAUGCCUAGGAAUCUGCCUGGUAGUGGGGGAUAACGUCUGGAAACGGGCGCUAAUACCGCAUACUAUCAGAUGAGCCUAGGUCGGAUUAGCUAGUUGGUGGGGUAAAGGCCUACCAAGGCGACGAUCCGUAACUGGUCUGAGAGGAUGAUCAGUCACACUGAAACUGAGACACGGACGAGACUCCUACGAGAGGCAGCAGUGGGGAAAAUUGGACAAUGGGCGAAAGCCUGAUCCAGCCAUGCCGCGGGUGUGAAGAAGGUCUUCGGAUUGUAAAGCACUUUAAGUUGGGAAGCGUUAACAACAGAAUAGGCACCGGCUAACUUCGUGCCAGCAGCCGCGGUAAUUC